AUGGCGAGAGCCCUGUUCAUCGCGGUCCUUGCCACGUGCUUUGUGGCGCUCGGCCUGCCCGGCGAAGCGGCGGCCGAGAGGAAGACCGUCGGUGUCUACGAGCUCAACAAGGGGGAUUUCUCAAUCAAGGUCACCAACUGGGGCGCCACCCUCAUGUCUGUGAUUCUCCCCGACUCGAGAGGAAACUUGGGGGAUGUCAUCCUGGGCUACGAUACGGUUGCUGAAUAUAUGAAUGGCACCGCCUACUUUGGAGGGUUGAUCGGCCGCGUCGCCAACAGGAUCGCCAAUGCCCGGUUCACGCUCGACGGCAAAGUCUACCGGCUGGUUCCCAACGAUGGCAACAACACGCUCCAUGGUGGUCACCGGGGAUUCGACAAGGUCGUGUGGACGGUGAAAGAGCACGUCGCCGGCGGCAGCUCCCCCUUCAUUACUCUGUAUUACCAUAGCUUCGACGGAGAGCAAGAGAAUGCCAGGGAUGGUGGAAUCAGGAAGAAACUCUCUUGUGAGAAUACGUCAAAUGUAACAAGUCAUAGAGGGAGUGAAAUAGUGGUUGCAGAGGCGGGCAAAGCAGAUACGGUCAUGACUGAAAAAGCAAAAGUAGCUAGUGGAGCGAAGGAGGGAGAGGUGUAUGUGGGAGAGGGGAGAAGUGAGGGGCUGGUCCAUAGUUCACAAAAGGAGGAGCAGGUAAAGAAGCAAAUGUACAGAUUUAAGAGGAGGAAAAGGGAGGAGGGGAUAGAUGAUGUGUCGCAUAUCCUCGCUAUCCCGGUGCGACCGGAUAUGGACGAUUUUGUAGCAUGGCACUACGACCCCAAAGGAAAAUUCUCUGUAAAAGGGGCGUAUCAUGUCGGUAUCCGGAUAAGAGAUGCAAGAAAUGGCAAUGAUGCAGGCCCAUCAUUGAGUCAGGGAAGGGGAGAGGAUAAAUGGCAAAGAUUGUGGAACCUGGAGAUGCCAGGGAAGGUGCGUAUUUUUCUGUGGAGCUGUCAAGCAAGUUUGGAGAGGAUUGGAGCUAGAGGAUACAAGAAGUGCUUUGUUGGAGUGCACUGGGCCAAGAGGUGUUUGAUCACAUAUGGAGCUUGGAUAAUAUAUCUUCAUGAAUUCAGUAAAAGUGUUAUGAAGCCUGUACAAGUGCCUCCCCAGGACAAGGUUACGUGGAAGCGACCCCCACCUGAUGUCGUUAAAGUCAAUUUUGAUGCAUCCUAUCAUGCGGACACAGGGAGAGGAGCAUGGGGGUGUGUUGCUCGUACUGACCAAGGUGAAUUUCUGGCAGCAAAGGCCGGCACACUUAAGCAUCUUACAGGGCCUCUACAUGCAGAAGCUUUGGCAUGUGUGCUAACUACUGAAGCAAGUGCGGGACUGGGCAUCCACAGGGUGAUUCUUGAGUCUAAUUCCCAAGUGCUUGUCCAUACACUCAAUUCUGGUGAAUAUGAACGAGCUUUGAUCGGUGUCCUCCUACGGGAGACGCGAAGUAUCUACCAUCUGAACUUUGAAUCAUUUAGUUUCAGUUUCUGUAACCGAAAUUGUAAUAAGGUAGCACAUGAGUUAGCUGCUUUUGGCUUCAGAUCGGGAGCUGCUGAUCUGUCGUGGAUCGAGUAUGCCCCAGACUUUGUUUCUGUUCUGGUCGCUAGCAACAUUGCUGAGCCAACUCAGUCUGACAGGGGCGUCGAUGGGUACGACAUCAACUACGUCGUGGACGGCGGGGGCCUGCGGCGGGUGGCGGCCGUCCGGGACGGCGCGUCCGGCAGGGCAAUGGAGCUGUGGGCGGACCAGCCUGGGGUGCAGUUCUACACGGCCAACGGGCUGAGCGGCGUGAGGGGAAAGGGCGGCAAGGUCUACGGCCGGUACGGCGCGCUCUGCCUGGAGACGCAGGGGUUCCCCGACGCCGUGAACCGCCCGAGUUUCCCGUCGCAGAUCGUCCGGCCGGGGAAGGUGUACAGGCAUGACAUGGUGUUCAAGUUCUCCUUCUAG
This 1965-nucleotide ribosomal RNA is filed under the name Triticum aestivum (bread wheat). RNAcentral's name for it is "partial small subunit ribosomal RNA". Lineage: Eukaryota; Viridiplantae; Streptophyta; Magnoliopsida; Poales; Poaceae. The record is from RNAcentral.